Molecule: ribosomal RNA, 503 nt
Filed under: uncultured bacterium
Lineage: Bacteria
Description: partial 16S ribosomal RNA
Rfam family: Bacterial small subunit ribosomal RNA
Source: RNAcentral
AUUGAACGCUGGCGGCAGGCUUAACACAUGCAAGUCGAGCGGGGUGAUGGUGCUUGCACUAUCACUUAGCGGCGGACGGGUGAGUAAUGCUUAGGAAUCUGCCUAUUAGUGGGGGACAACGUCUCGAAAGGGAUGCUAAUACCGCAUACGUCCUACGGGAGAAAGCAGGGGAUCACUUGUGACCUUGCGCUAAUAGAUGAGCCUAAGUCGGAUUAGCUAGUUGGUGGGGUAAAGGCCUACCAAGGCGACGAUCUGUAGCGGGUCUGAGAGGAUGAUCCGCCACACUGGGACUGAGACACGGCCCAGACUCCUACGGGAGGCAGCAGUGGGGAAUAUUGGACAAUGGGGGGAACCCUGAUCCAGCCAUGCCGCGUGUGUGAAGAAGGCCUUAUGGUUGUAAAGCACUUUAAGCGAGGAGGAGACUCUUUUGGUUAAUACCCAAGAUGAGUGGACGUUACUCGCAGAAUAAGCACCGGCUAACUCUGUGCCAGCCGCCGCGGUAA